AACGAACGCUGGCGGCAUGCCUAACACAUGCAAGUCGAACGAGACCUUCGGGUCUAGUGGCGCACGGGUGCGUAACGCGUGGGAAUCUGCCCUUCGGUUGGGAAUAACUGAGAGAAAUUUCAGCUAAUACCUUAUGAUGUCUUCGGACCAAAGAUUUAUCGCCGAGGGAUGAGCCCGCGUAGGAUUAGGUAGUUGGUGGGGUAAUGGCCUACCAAGCCGACGAUCCUUAGCUGGUCUGAGAGGAUGAUCAGCCACACUGGGACUGAGACACGGCCCAGACUCCUACGGGAGGCAGCAGUGGGGAAUAUUGGACAAUGGGCGAAAGCCUGAUCCAGCAAUGCCGCGUGAGUGAUGAAGGCCUUAGGGUUGUAAAGCUCUUUUACCCGGGAUGAUAAUGACAGUACCGGGAGAAUAAGCUCCGGCUAACUCCGUG
This 433-nucleotide ribosomal RNA is filed under the name uncultured bacterium. RNAcentral describes it as "partial 16S ribosomal RNA". It matches the Rfam family "Bacterial small subunit ribosomal RNA", at positions 29 to 507 of the family's 1533-position model. The record is from RNAcentral.